RNAcentral lists this ribosomal RNA (493 nucleotides) under uncultured bacterium. RNAcentral describes it as "bacterial SSU rRNA". It matches the Rfam family "Bacterial small subunit ribosomal RNA", at positions 28 to 526 of the family's 1533-position model. The record is from RNAcentral.
GACGAACGCUGGCGGCGCGCCUAACACAUGCAAGUCGAACGGGAUCUUUUAGAGAGCUUGCUCUCUGGCUGAUCUAGUGGCGGACGGGUGAGUAACACGUGAGCAACCUGCCCUGGAGUGGGGAUAACGUCUGGAAACGGACGCUAAUACCGCAUAACAUCAUUGAGCGGCAUCGCUUGGUGAUCAAAGGAGAAAUCCGCUUUGGGAUGGGCUCGCGCCCGAUUAGGUAGUUGGUGGGGUAAAGGCCUACCAAGCCAACGAUCGGUAGCCGGACUGAGAGGUUGAACGGCCACAUUGGGACUGAGAUACGGCCCAGACUCCUACGGGAGGCAGCAGUGGGGAAUAUUGGGCAAUGGGCGCAAGCCUGACCCAGCAACGCCGCGUGAAGGAAGAAGGCUUUCGGGUUGUAAACUUCUUGGACCAGGGAAGAAACAAAUGACGGUACCUGGAAAACAAGCCACGGCUAACUACGUGCCAGCCGCCGCAGUAACAC